Molecule: ribosomal RNA, 533 nt
Filed under: Alternaria alternata
Lineage: Eukaryota; Fungi; Ascomycota; Dothideomycetes; Pleosporales; Pleosporaceae
Description: eukaryotic LSU rRNA
Rfam family: 5.8S ribosomal RNA (bases 156-309)
Source: RNAcentral
AGAGGCGGGCUGGACCUCUCGGGGUUACAGCCUUGCUGAAUUAUUCACCCUUGUCUUUUGCGUACUUCUUGUUUCCUUGGUGGGUUCGCCCACCACUAGGACAAACAUAAACCUUUUGUAAUUGCAAUCAGCGUCAGUAACAAAUUAAUAAUUACAACUUUCAACAACGGAUCUCUUGGUUCUGGCAUCGAUGAAGAACGCAGCGAAAUGCGAUAAGUAGUGUGAAUUGCAGAAUUCAGUGAAUCAUCGAAUCUUUGAACGCACAUUGCGCCCUUUGGUAUUCCAAAGGGCAUGCCUGUUCGAGCGUCAUUUGUACCCUCAAGCUUUGCUUGGUGUUGGGCGUCUUGUCUCUAGCUUUGCUGGAGACUCGCCUUAAAGUAAUUGGCAGCCGGCCUACUGGUUUCGGAGCGCAGCACAAGUCGCACUCUCUAUCAGCAAAGGUCUAGCAUCCAUUAAGCCUUUUUUUCAACUUUUGACCUCGGAUCAGGUAGGGAUACCCGCUGAACUUAAGCAUAUCAAUAAGCCGGAGGAAA